UGAAAUGCCAAACUCAUCGUUG
RNAcentral lists this non-coding RNA (22 nucleotides) under Arabidopsis thaliana (thale cress). Lineage: Eukaryota; Viridiplantae; Streptophyta; Magnoliopsida; Brassicales; Brassicaceae. The record is from RNAcentral.